CGGCGUCCAGGGGCGUCCACUGUGAGGACGGAGCUUCCUCUCAGCACCCACCCAGGAGGGGCCGGGGCUUCGGGACACCCGAGGACUCCUGGGGCCGCCGGGAGAAAGACCCACCCGGGGCUUGGGACACCUGGGGCCGCGUCCGCUGUGAGGACAGGGAGACGCUGCUGCAGCUCCGGGACACCUGGGGCCGACCCUGGUACCGGGAGAGGAGGAGGAACGCGGAGACGCCGUAGGGCGGUCGGGAUGUUGGGGACUGGCAGGCGCCACAGCCUGAGGUCGAGGCAACAGGCGCCCCCGGAUCAGUGCUCAUUUUUUGUUUGGUUUUGUUUUUUUUGAGACGGACUUUCGCUCUUGUUUCCCAGGUUGGAGUGCAAUGGCGCGAUCUCGGCUCGCUGCAACCUCCGCCUCCCGGGUUCAAGCGAUUCUCCUGCCUCAGCCUCUCCAGUAGCUGGGAUAACAGGCAUGCGCCAGCACGCCCGGCUAAUUUUGUAUUUUUAGUAGAGACGCGGUUUCUCCAUGUUGGUCAGGCUGGUCUCGAACUGCCAACCUCAUCAGGUGAUCCACCCACCUCGGCCUCCCAAAGUGGUGGGAUUACAGGCGUCAGCCACCUGGCCUGGUCAGUGCUCCGUGUUUUCAGGCUCAUUUGUUAACAUAGUGGAAACAACACAGGAAAAUGGAAAAGUAGGCACAUCAUCAUGCUCACGCCACUGCACUCAAGCCCUGGGCAAGAGAGUGAGACCUUGUCUCAAAAAACAAAAAGAAAUGAAAACAAAACCAAAAAAAAAUUGUGUGCGUCUAAUGGAAGUGAACUCGUCAACAACAGUUUUUCUUUUAUUGAGAAAGUCUGUUUAAUUUGCAGUGUAUUUGUAAUGGUACAUAAAAUGACAUCUGUUUUAUAAACAUUCUCAUCCUAAAUUAGUUGAAAUGUAUUAACUAUAUCAAGCUUUGACAUGAUACCAUAAAAUUAAUUGAA
Molecule: non-coding RNA, 976 nt
Filed under: Pongo abelii (Sumatran orangutan)
Lineage: Eukaryota; Metazoa; Chordata; Mammalia; Primates; Hominidae
Source: RNAcentral